Molecule: ribosomal RNA, 406 nt
Filed under: uncultured bacterium
Lineage: Bacteria
Description: partial 16S ribosomal RNA
Rfam family: Bacterial small subunit ribosomal RNA
Source: RNAcentral
AUUGAACGCUGGCGGCAGGCCUAACACAUGCAAGUCGAACGAGUGGCGGACGGGUGAGUAAUGUCUGGGAAACUGCCCGAUGGAGGGGGAUAACUACUGGAAACGGUAGCUAAUACCGCAUACCAUCGGAUGUGCCCAGAUGGGAUUAGCUAGUAGGUGGGGUAACGGCUCAUCUAGGCGACGACCCCUAGCUGGUCUGAGAGGAUGACCGGCAACACUGGAACGGAGACACGGUCCAGACUCCGACGGGAGGCAGCAGGGGGGAAUAUUGCACAUUGGGCGCAAGCCUGAUGCAGCCAUGCCGCGUGUAUGAAGAAGGCCUUCGGGUGGUAAAGUACUUUCAGCGAGGAGGCGUUACCCGCAGAAGAAGCACCGGCUAACGCCGUGCCAGCAGCCGCGGUAAUUC